This 496-nucleotide ribosomal RNA is filed under the name uncultured bacterium. Its description in RNAcentral is "partial 16S ribosomal RNA". It matches the Rfam family "Bacterial small subunit ribosomal RNA", at positions 28 to 506 of the family's 1533-position model. The record is from RNAcentral.
GAUGAACGCUGGCGGCGUGCCUAAUACAUGCAAGUCGAGCGAACAGACGAGGAGCUUGCUCCUCUGACGUUAGCGGCGGACGGGUGAGUAACACGUGGAUAACCUACCUAUAAGACUGGGAUAACUUCGGGAAACCGGAGCUAAUACCGGAUAAUAUAUUGAACCGCAUGGUUCAAUAGUGAAAGACGGUUUUGCUGUUACUUAUAGAUGGAUCCGCGCCGCAUUAGCUAGUUGGUAAGGUAACGGCUUACCAAGGCAACGAUGCGUAGCCGACCUGAGAGGGUGAUCGGCAACACUGGAACGGAGACACGGUCCAGACCCCUACGGGAGGCAGCAUGAGGGAAUCUUCCGCAAUGGGCGAAAGCCUGACGAAGCAACGCGGCGUGGGUGAUGAAGGUCUUGGGAUCGUAAAACUCUGUUAUUAGGGAAGAAAAAAUGUGUAAGUAACUAUGCAGGUCUUGACGGUACCAAAGCAGAAAGCCACGGCUAACUACGU